UAAGGAAUAUUGCUCAAUGGGAGAAAUCCUGAAGCAGCAACGCCGCGUGAAGGAAGAAGGGUCUUCGACUUGUAAACUUCUGUAGAAGAGGAAAAAUACUCCGAUAUAAUCGGAAUUGAUUGUACUCUUAAAGUAAGCCCCGGCUAACUACGUGCCAGCAGCCGCGGUAAUACGUAGGGGGCAAGCGUUGUCCGGAUUUACUGGGUGUAAAGGGUGCUCAGGCGGAUUUGUAAGUCAGAGGUGAAAUCCCGAAGCUUAACUUCGGAACUGCCUUUGAUACUGCAAGUCUAGAGUUCAAAAGAGGAUGAUGGAAUAUCUGGUGUAGCAGUGAAAUGCGUAGAUAUCAGAUAGAACACCAAUGGCGAAGGCAGUCAUCUGGUUUGAAACUGACGCUAAAGCACGAAAGUAUGGGGAGCAAACAGG
RNAcentral lists this ribosomal RNA (423 nucleotides) under uncultured bacterium. RNAcentral's name for it is "bacterial SSU rRNA". It matches the Rfam family "Bacterial small subunit ribosomal RNA", at positions 355 to 776 of the family's 1533-position model. The record is from RNAcentral.